GUUUUAAUAAUUUAAUAAAAAUAAUGAUUUUGUAAAUCAAUAAUAGGUUGAACAAUUAACCUUUAAAACU
RNAcentral lists this transfer RNA (70 nucleotides) under Mileewa margheritae. RNAcentral describes it as "tRNA-Thr". Lineage: Eukaryota; Metazoa; Arthropoda; Insecta; Hemiptera; Cicadellidae. The record is from RNAcentral.